Molecule: ribosomal RNA, 424 nt
Filed under: Corynebacterium argentoratense
Lineage: Bacteria; Bacillati; Actinomycetota; Actinomycetes; Mycobacteriales; Corynebacteriaceae
Description: bacterial SSU rRNA
Rfam family: Bacterial small subunit ribosomal RNA
Source: RNAcentral
GGUGUUGUGGAAAGUUUUUUCGGUGUGGGAUGGACCCGCGGCCUAUCAGCUUGUUGGUGGGGUAAUGGCCUACCAAGGCGGUGACGGGUAGCCGGCCUGAGAAGGUGGACGGCCACAUUAGGGCUGAGACACGGCCCAGACUCCUACCGGAGGCAACAGUUGGGAAUCUUGCACAAUGGGCGGAAGCCUGAUGCGACGACGCCGCGGGUGGGAUGACGGCCUUCGGGGUGUAAACUCCUUUCACCCUCGGCGAAGGGUUUCUGACGGUAGAUGGAGAAGAAGCCCCGGCCAACUACGGGCCAGCAGCCGCGGUAAUACCUAGGGUGCGAGCGUUGUCCGGAAUUUCUUGGCGUAAAGAGCUCGUAGGUGGUUUGGCGCGUUGUCUGUGAAAUUCCGGGGCUUAACUCCGGGCGGCAGGCGAUAC